Molecule: long non-coding RNA, 247 nt
Organism: Notolabrus celidotus (New Zealand spotty)
Lineage: Eukaryota; Metazoa; Chordata; Actinopteri; Labriformes; Labridae
Exons: 2
Source: RefSeq, a predicted model, not a curated record
UGUUCAUUUUAUUCCUGUUUUAUUAUAAGUUUCAGUUUGGUGUUGUCACUUUAAGAGUGACAGAAAGUGUGCCUCUAGUGGUUGGGUCACAUGACCUGUGAACAGAAAGUAAAAGAGCAUUAGAGAGCAUGGUGGUGUUUUUUAAUGGCAGUAGCAAUCCAGGGACAUCUGCCUGAACAUUCUUGUUUUUGAUAGCAUCGUGGUUUCACCCUUUUCUGAGGUACCAAUAAACCUGUGGACAAGCAGA